RNAcentral lists this ribosomal RNA (252 nucleotides) under uncultured bacterium. Its description in RNAcentral is "partial 16S ribosomal RNA". It matches the Rfam family "Bacterial small subunit ribosomal RNA", at positions 524 to 775 of the family's 1533-position model. The record is from RNAcentral.
UACGUAGGGUGCAAGCGUUAAUCGGAAUUACUGGGCGUAAAGCGUGCGUAGGUGGUUCGUUAAGUUGGAUGUGAAAUCCCCGGGCUCAACCUGGGAACUGCAUUCAAAACUGUCGAGCUAGAGUAUGGUAGAGGGUGGUGGAAUUUCCUGUGUAGCGGUGAAAUGCGUAGAUAUAGGAAGGAACACCAGUGGCGAAGGCGACCACCUGGACUGAUACUGACACUGAGGUGCGAAAGCGUGGGGAGCAAACAG